UUGGCCUCGGAUCAGGUAGGAAUACCCGCUGAACUUAAGCAUAUCAAUAAGCGGAGGAAAAGAACCCAACAGGGAUUGCCUCAGUAACGGCGAGUGAAGCGGCAACAGCUCAAAUUUGAAAUCUGGCCAAGCGGCCCGAGUUGUAAUUUGUAGAGGAUGCUUUAGGCGCGGCGCCUUCCGAGUUCCCUGGAACGGGACGCCACAGAGGGUGAGAGCCCCGUAUGGUCGGACGCCAAGCCAUUGUAAAGCUCCCUCGACGAGUCGAGUAGUUUGGGAAUGCUGCUCAAAAUGGGAGGUAAAUUUCUUCUAAAGCUAAAUACCGGCCAGAGACCGAUAGCGAAAAAGUAGAGUGAUCGAAAGAUGAAAAGCACUUUGAAAAGAGGGUUAAACAGCACGUGAAAUUGUUGAAAGGGAAGCGCCUGUGACCAGACCUGCGCCCUGGGGAUCAUCCGGCGUUCUCGCCGGUGCACUCCGCUGGGCUGCAGGCCAGCAUCGGUUCUCCUAGGGGGAUAAAAGCAUUGGGAACGUAACUCCUUAGGGAGUGUUAUAGCCCGUUGUACAAUACCCUUGGGGGGACCGAGGUACGCGCUCCGCAAGGAUGCUGGCGUAAUGGUCAUCAGCGACCCGUCUUGAAACACGGACCAAGGAGUCAAGCAUUAGGGCGAGUGUUUGGGUGCAAAACCCGCACGCGAAAUGAAAGUGAACGUAGGUGAGAGCUUCGGCGCAUCAUCGACCGAUCCUGAUGUUCUCGGAUGGAUUUGAGUAAGAGCCUUACCGCUUGGACCCGAAAGAUGGUGAACUAUGCCUGUAUAGGGUGAAGCCAGAGGAAACUCUGGUGGAGGCUCGCAGCGGUUCUGACGUGCAAAUCGAUCGUCAAAUAUGGGCAUGGGGGCGAAAGACUAAUCGAACUAUCUAGUAGCUGGUUACCGCCGAAGUUUCCCUCAGGAUAGCAGUGUUGUUUUCAGUUUUAUGAGGUAAAGCGAAUGAUUAGGGACUCGGGGGCGCUAUUUUGCCUUCAUCCAUUCUCAAACUUUAAAUAUGUAAGAAGCCCUUGUUACUUUGUUGAACGUGGGCCUUCGAAUGCAGCAACACUAGUGGGCCAUUUUUGGUAAGCAGAACUGGCGAUGCGGGAUGAACCGAACGCGGGGUUAAGGUGCCAGAGUGGACGCUCAUCAGACACCA
RNAcentral lists this ribosomal RNA (1182 nucleotides) under Lentomitella crinigera. RNAcentral describes it as "eukaryotic LSU rRNA". It matches the Rfam family "Eukaryotic large subunit ribosomal RNA", at positions 1 to 1214 of the family's 3401-position model. Lineage: Eukaryota; Fungi; Ascomycota; Sordariomycetes; Xenospadicoidales; Xenospadicoidaceae. The record is from RNAcentral.